UUCUUUUUUUUUUAUUGUUUUUUAUUGUUAAAAGGCUAAAAAAAAAAAAAAAAAAAAAAAAAAGACAACACGUUC
Molecule: non-coding RNA, 75 nt
Filed under: Cryptomonas paramaecium
Lineage: Eukaryota; Cryptophyceae; Cryptomonadales; Cryptomonadaceae
Source: RNAcentral